CGCGUAGGUGGUUUGUUAAGCGAGAUGUGAAAGCCUCGGGCUUAACCUGGGAACGGCAUUUCGAACUGGCAGGCUAGAGUGUGGUAGAGGGUAGUGGAAUUUCCUGUGUAGCGGUGAAAUGCGUAGAUAUAGGAAGGAACACCAGUGGCGAAGGCGGCUACCUGGACCAACACUGACACUGAGGUGCGAAAGCGUGGGGAGCAAACA
RNAcentral lists this ribosomal RNA (207 nucleotides) under uncultured bacterium. RNAcentral's name for it is "partial 16S ribosomal RNA". It matches the Rfam family "Bacterial small subunit ribosomal RNA", at positions 568 to 774 of the family's 1533-position model. The record is from RNAcentral.